RNAcentral lists this ribosomal RNA (505 nucleotides) under uncultured bacterium. RNAcentral's name for it is "partial 16S ribosomal RNA". It matches the Rfam family "Bacterial small subunit ribosomal RNA", at positions 28 to 507 of the family's 1533-position model. The record is from RNAcentral.
GACGAACGCUGGCGGCGUGCCUAAUACAUGCAAGUAGAACGCACAGUUUAUACCGUAGCUUGCUACACCAUAGACUGUGAGUUGCGAACGGGUGAGUAACGCGUAGGUAACCUGCCUGGUAGCGGGGGAUAACUAUUGGAAACGAUAGCUAAUACCGCAUAAUAUUGAUUAUUGCAUGAUAAUUGAUUGAAAGAUGCUAUUGCAUCACUACCAGAUGGACCUGCGUUGUAUUAGCUAGUAGGUGAGGUAACGGCUCACCUAGGCGACGAUACAUAGCCGACCUGAGAGGGUGAUCGGCCACACUGGGACUGAGACACGGCCCAGACUCCUACGGGAGGCAGCAGUAGGGAAUCUUCGGCAAUGGACGAAAGUCUGACCGAGCAACGCCGCGUGAGUGAAGAAGGUUUUCGGAUCGUAAAGCUCUGUUGUAAGAGAAGAACGGGUAUGAGAGUGGAAAGUUCACACUGUGACGGUAUCUGACCAGAAAGGGACGGCUAACUACGUG